GGAGUCCUGUGCAUUUUCUGUAUUUUUCAGAGUCGUACGAACGUGGAUUUACCUGCUCUAAACACGCUCUACACCUGUUGUCCGAACGGUUAUGGAAUGUUGGCUCUGAGGAUAUGUUUUGGCCUGGAUAUAACUUUUUGGAACUAUGGAAGUUGAAUUGCAAAUGGAUGUCAGGUGCUCUGACAAAACAUCACAGAUUCAGUUGGGAUAUGUGUUGAAGGAAAGCU
Non-coding RNA from Pelobates cultripes (western spadefoot toad), 227 nucleotides. Lineage: Eukaryota; Metazoa; Chordata; Amphibia; Anura; Pelobatidae. The record is from the annotation of a GenBank genome assembly.